CUUGGACCCGGCCCUGCCGGGUGGCUCGUCCGGGCGCCUAUCCCCCGGAAACCU
Molecule: non-coding RNA, 54 nt
Filed under: Rhodanobacter fulvus Jip2
Lineage: Bacteria; Pseudomonadati; Pseudomonadota; Gammaproteobacteria; Lysobacterales; Rhodanobacteraceae
Description: sul1 RNA
Rfam family: sul1 RNA
Source: Rfam by way of RNAcentral